This 460-nucleotide ribosomal RNA is filed under the name uncultured bacterium. Its description in RNAcentral is "partial 16S ribosomal RNA". It matches the Rfam family "Bacterial small subunit ribosomal RNA", at positions 338 to 795 of the family's 1533-position model. The record is from RNAcentral.
CCUACGGGUGGCAGCAGUGAGGAAUAUUGGUCAAUGGGCGCGAGCCUGAACCAGCCAAGUAGCGUGAAGGAUGACUGCCCUACGUGUUGUAAACUUCUUUUAUAAAGGAAUAAAGUGCGGCACGUGUUCCUUUUGUUACGUCCUUUAUGAAUAAGGAUCGGCUAACUCCGUGCCAGCAGCCGCGGUAAUACGGAGGAUCCGAGCGUUAUCCGGAUUUCUUGGGUUUAAAGGGAGCGUAGAUGGGUUGUUAAGUCAGUUGUGAAAGUUUGCGGCUCAACCGUAAAAUUGCAAUUGAUACUGGCAGUCUUGAGUACAGUUGAGGUAGGCGGAAUUCGUGGUGUAGCGGUGAAAUGCGUAGAUAUCACGAAGAACUCCGAUUGCGAAGGCAGCUUACUAAACUGCCACUGACAUUGAUGCUCGAAAGUGUGGGGAUCAAACAGGAUUAGAUACCCUAGUAGUC